RNAcentral lists this transfer RNA (72 nucleotides) under Chloroflexota bacterium. Its description in RNAcentral is "Chloroflexi bacterium (hydrothermal vent metagenome) tRNA-His". It matches the Rfam family "tRNA". From Rfam's summary of the family: Transfer RNA (tRNA) molecules are approximately 80 nucleotides in length. Their secondary structure includes four short double-helical elements and three loops (D, anti-codon, and T loops). Lineage: Bacteria; Bacillati; Chloroflexota. The record is from RNAcentral.
GUGACCGUAGCUCAAUGGUGGAGCACCUGGUUGUGGCCCAGGAGGUUGGGGGUUCAAAUCCCCUCGGUCACC